Molecule: non-coding RNA, 526 nt
Organism: Manis javanica (Malayan pangolin)
Lineage: Eukaryota; Metazoa; Chordata; Mammalia; Pholidota; Manidae
Source: RefSeq, a predicted model, not a curated record
CAGUCCAUAUGAACAAGAAGCCCUCCGAUGCCCUGGACACUGACUAGGGAUGUGACAGAGCCCUGGACCGAGGAUGUGAGAACGGCUGCUUCAGAGAGCCGACCACCUAGCUGGGCCUGUGACGGGGGGACUCUGGCCAGGUGGCGGCAGGAGCCCGGAGGGAGGGGGAGAAGCGCUGACCAUCUGACUGUCACGAGUGGACGUCCCCGAGCAGCCGAGACCUAUGCAUGGGUUCUGCAGUCUCCCCUGCCCACUGGACGCUCAGCUGCAGGACCGGCCCUUCCUCUGGUCUGAGGGACUGAGGUGCAGGUCGCGAGCAUGGAUUCUGCAGUCAGGCGCCUGGGUUUAAACUGCAGCUCUAUUGCUCCCUGGCUGUGUGAGCUCGGCCCUAACCAGGCCAUCUGUGAGAUCCACGCAGUCACCGACCCACUGGCCCAGGGCAGGAGCCUGCCGUCAUGCCGCACACCCCCAGGGGAAGACGGCGUGGCAGCCAGGCCCUGGCGGGCUCUGCCUCUCGUUCUGAAGG